UACAGAGGUCUCAAGCGUUGUUCGGAUUCAUUGGGCGUAAAGGGUGCGUAGGUGGCGCCAUAAGUCAGGUGUGAAAUCUCGGGGCUCAACCCCGAAACUGCACUUGAUACUGUGGUGCUUGAGUACUGGAGAGGAGAUUGGAAUUUACGGUGUAGCAGUGAAAUGCGCAGAUAUCAGGAGGAACACCAAUGGCGAAGGCAGCUCGCUGGGACGGUACUGACGCUGAGACGCGAAAGCGUGGGGAGCAAACAGG
This 253-nucleotide ribosomal RNA is filed under the name uncultured bacterium. RNAcentral's name for it is "partial 16S ribosomal RNA". It matches the Rfam family "Bacterial small subunit ribosomal RNA", at positions 524 to 776 of the family's 1533-position model. The record is from RNAcentral.